UCCAGACUCCUACGGGAGGCAGCAGUGGGGGAUAUUGCACAAUGGGGGAAACCCUGAUGCAGCGACGCCGCGUGGGUGAAGAAGCGCCUCGGCGCGUAAAGCCCUGUCAGCAGGGAAGAAAAUGACGGUACCUGAAGAAGAAGCCCCGGCUAACUACGUGCCAGCAGCCGCGGUAAUACGUAGGGGGCGAGCGUUAUCCGGAUUUACUGGGUGUAAAGGGAGCGUAGACGGUUCUGCAAGUCUGAAGUGAAAGCCCGUGGCUUAACCGCGGAACGGCUUUGGAAACUGUGGAACUGGAGUGCUGGAGAGGCAAGCGGAAUUCCUAGUGUAGCGGUGAAAUGCGUAGAUAUUAGGAGGAACACCAGUGGCGAAGGCGGCCUGCUGGACUGCAACUGACGUUGAGGCCCGAAAGCGUGGGGAGCAAACAGGAUUAGAUACCCUGGUA
Molecule: ribosomal RNA, 445 nt
Filed under: uncultured bacterium
Lineage: Bacteria
Description: partial 16S ribosomal RNA
Rfam family: Bacterial small subunit ribosomal RNA
Source: RNAcentral